GCGCGGGUCCGACCCUGCGUUGCGAGGCUCCCACCGAGUUAGUUGGAGACAGGGUGGGCAGGGAGGAAACCAGCUUGCAGGAUCUUAGUUCUCCGACCAGGGAUUGAACCUGGGCCCUCGGCAGUGAAAGCGCGGAAUCCUAACCACUGGACUGCCAGCACUGAUCAAGAUCAAAUGAUGCAGGGCUUCCCUGGUGGCACAGUGGUUAAGAAGCCGCUGCCACUGCAGGGGACAUGGGUUCGAGCCCUGGUCCGGGAAGAUCCCACAUGCCACGGGGCAUCUAAGCCCGUGUGCCACAACUACUGGAGCCCGCGUGCCUAGAGCCCAUGCUCCACAACAAGAGAAGCCACCGCAAUGAGAAGCCUGUGCACCGCAAUGAAGAGUAGCCCCCGCUCGCUGCAGCUAGAGAAAGCCCGUGGGCAGCAAUGAAGACCCAACGCAGCCAAAAAUAAAAUAAAUUAAUUUUUAA
Kogia breviceps (pygmy sperm whale) is the source of this 469-nucleotide non-coding RNA. Lineage: Eukaryota; Metazoa; Chordata; Mammalia; Artiodactyla; Physeteridae. The record is from RefSeq and is a predicted model, not a curated record.